This 757-nucleotide ribosomal RNA is filed under the name Spirobolus grahami. RNAcentral describes it as "12S ribosomal RNA". The record is from RNAcentral. Lineage: Eukaryota; Metazoa; Arthropoda; Diplopoda; Spirobolida; Spirobolidae.
UAUAAACUUGAUUCCAAUUUAUUUUUUCCCUCUUCUUUUUCCCUAUAUAAUAUUAUUUAAUUAAUUAGUGAUAUUUAGUGGGGGGAUUUGGGUGAUAGUAGUAAACUUAACAGAAAUAAGAGGUAUUUUCAACCAAACUUGUGCCAGCAGUUGCGGCUAUACAGGUGAGGCAGGGGAGAGUCGUGCGGUGCUAGUAGUUUGAUUAAUCGUGAGUAUUUUAUUAGACUUGGGGUGGGUAAAAUCUUCUUUGUUCUUGUAUAUAGAAGUGAUUAUGAAUAAAGUGCUAAGAAGAUUAAGAUUAAACCUGGAUUAGAUACCCAGUUAUUCUAAAAGUAAAGUUUUCACAUGAGUAGUAUUAGGGUGCUUGAACUUUAAUGAAUUUGGCGGUGUUUUAGGCUUGUUAGAGGAACUUGUUCUGUAAUCGAUGGUCCUCGAUUAGGGAACUUUCUUUAGCUUUCAAUUUGUAUAUCGCUGUCGUCAGAGAGCUUUUUUAGAUGGCGCUUUCUGCUUCCACUAUCUGGAGGACGUCAAGUCAAGGUGCAGUUAAUGAGAAAGGUUGAAUAAUGAGUUACAAUAAAUGUAUUUAUAAACGGAAAUUGGAUGGAAAUACUUAAGUAAGGUGGAUUUAUUUGUAAGUGUUUACUAGAACGAAAUACUGAAAAAGCUCUGAAACAUGUACAUAUCGCCCGUCAUUCUUGUCUUUAGAUGAGACAAGUCGUAACAUAGUAGGGGUAUUGGAAGAUGUCUCUGGAGGAGC